Apodemus sylvaticus (European woodmouse) is the source of this 132-nucleotide small nucleolar RNA. RefSeq annotates it as small nucleolar RNA SNORA17. The record is from RefSeq and is a predicted model, not a curated record. The transcript has a single exon. Lineage: Eukaryota; Metazoa; Chordata; Mammalia; Rodentia; Muridae.
CCUGCUCCUAGAGGCAGUAUAGGUGUGGUUACUAUGUCCCAUGUGUAUCAGUAGAUGGCAGAGAGGAGAGAGGCUAUGUCUAUGCUCAAUGUUGUGAACUGUGAACCUCUAAAUGAUUAGUAGCCUAACAUU